UGACAGAUGGCUGGAAUAAGAUCAGUCUUU
Molecule: non-coding RNA, 30 nt
Filed under: Rattus norvegicus (Norway rat)
Lineage: Eukaryota; Metazoa; Chordata; Mammalia; Rodentia; Muridae
Source: RNAcentral